This is a non-coding RNA of Pelobates cultripes (western spadefoot toad), 1455 nucleotides long. Lineage: Eukaryota; Metazoa; Chordata; Amphibia; Anura; Pelobatidae. The record is from the annotation of a GenBank genome assembly.
CAUUCAGCCGAAUGGGAGGAACGGAGGAGGAUCGGAGGAGGAGAACUCCCCGCCCAGCGCUGGAAAAAGGUAAGUUUUUACCCCUUUUCUCUCCCCAGAGCCGGGCGGGAGGGGGACCCUGAGGGUGGGGGCACCCUCAGGGCACUAUAGUGGUAUGUUUUCCUGGCACUAUAGUGGUCCUUUAAGAGGGAAAGACAUUAAAAAGGGAUAAGAAACACAAAAGAGGAUUUAAGAGACAAGUAAUUUUUUUGUGGGGGCGGGGCAGCAAAAUUUGUCUUCACAUUGCCAAAAAUCCUUGCACCUGCCCCUUGUUUAGUAGAUAGCUCCAUAACUGGAUUUACUUAAAAAAGCAACCCCCCAUAAGGGUACCAAAUUAAACAGCUGAAAGGCCAGAAUUAAUGAAACGGCUGUGAUGUCUCAGUUAUUUAGAAGAUAGUUCCCUUGUGAUGGAUGGCCGGAACCCCUGAUAUGUUUUGCACAAGUUUGCAGUGCCAUUUUAUGACUGUUUUCAAUGUAAUUAGGCAUCAAUGUAUUGAGUACCUGUAUUAUACAUGGAGCAGAAUGUGUGUCUCUAUAUGCAGCUGUGGGCAGAAGCAGACUAGAAACCACGGGGCCCCAGUGCGAAAAUUUCCCUGGGCCCCCCCUGUACGUCAACCCCUCCCACCACCCUCCUUCCAUCAAGUCUUUUGUCCCCCUCCCAUACGUUAACCCCUCUUCCCACACAUGUAGACACACACACACCUUUACUUGGGGUCCAGUGGUGGCUCAGGCUAAUGGGAGUCAGAGUUCCCACUUGUCACGUAUUCAUCCGCUUAUAGAAAUGUGGUUAAUGACAUUUACUGUCCACACAGGAAAAGUUGUGCCGAGCAGCAACCUAAUCCACAGAAGGGUUAAUGCUGAGCAGUAAUUGUGCAAAUGAAACCUGGUGUCAGGUAUUCAUCCACUUAUAGAAAAGUGGUUAAUGACAUUUACUGUCCACACAGGAAAAGUUGUGCCGAGCAGCAACCUAGUCCACAGAAGAGUUAAUGCUGAGCAGCAAUUAUGUAAAUGAAACCUCCUAGCAACUCCUUAUCACCAUCCCUACAGUUUGAUGGCAAUAUCCAGGAAUGCAGGGGUUUUCUUAAUCAGGUGGAGUACCAUAUUGAGGCCUCACCAGGGUCAUUCCCCACGGACAGAGCAAGAAUUGGUUAUCUAAUGAAUCAAUUAAAGUGCAAGGCCCUUGCCUGGGCUAAUCCGUUGUGGGAGAGUAAUCGGAGCAUAGCUCAUAAUUACCAGGAAUUCCUUGCCGAAUUCAAGCUCACGUUUGAGCCAUUGGGUAGAGAGGAUGACGGUAUCUCGGAUUAUGCUAUUGAAUUCCGUACCUUAGCUUCCGAGGUAGACUGGACUAACAAUGGGUUAAUCUCAGCAUUCAAAAAGGGUCUCUCAGAGACUAUACUAGAUGAGAUAGCCGCUAAA